GCUGGCGGCGUGCCUAACACAUGCAAGUCGGGGGAGAAAGUGGACUUCGGUCUGCGAGUAAACCGGCGCACGGGUGAGUACAACGUAGGUAACGUACCUUCGAGUCCGGGAUAACCAGCCGAAAGGUUGGCUAAUACCGGAUACGACCGCGGAGCCUCGGCUCUACGGGGAAAGAUGGCCUCUGUUUACAAGCUAUCACUCGCUGAGCGGCCUACGCACCAUUAGCUAGUUGGUGAGGUAACGGCUCACCAAGGCUGAGAUGGUUAGCUGGUCUGAGAGGAUGGCCAGCCACACUGGGACUGAGACACGGCCCAGACUCCUACGGGAGGCAGCAGUGGGGAAUAUUGCGCAAUGGGCGAAAGCCUGACGCAGCGACGCCGCGUGGGUGAUGAAGGCCUUCGGGUCGUAAAGCCCUGUCGGGAGGGAAGAACGUCCCUCGACCUAACACGUCGGGGGAGUGACGGUACCUCCUAAGGAAGCACCGGCUAACUCCGUGCCAGCAGCCGCGGUAAUACGGAGGGUGCAAGCGUUGUUCGGAAUCACUGGGCGUAAAGGGCGU
This 559-nucleotide ribosomal RNA is filed under the name uncultured soil bacterium. RNAcentral's name for it is "bacterial SSU rRNA". It matches the Rfam family "Bacterial small subunit ribosomal RNA", at positions 35 to 570 of the family's 1533-position model. The record is from RNAcentral.